GCGGGUGUAGCUCAAUGGUAGAGCGUCGGCUUCCCAAGCCGAACACGGGGGUUCGAUUCCCCUCACCCGUUCCA
This 74-nucleotide transfer RNA is filed under the name Planctomycetota bacterium. RNAcentral describes it as "Planctomycetes bacterium (soil metagenome) tRNA-Gly". It matches the Rfam family "tRNA". Rfam says of the family: Transfer RNA (tRNA) molecules are approximately 80 nucleotides in length. The record is from RNAcentral. Lineage: Bacteria; Pseudomonadati; Planctomycetota.